GUCAAUGUUGAUUCAAACUGCAGUCAACUGUGCCACUGCUAUUGGUCUGCCUUGCUAGUGAAACAGGACAUAUCCAGGGAUGAUGUUGGUAGAGUCUGGGACAUUUGCUUUAAGAUAUAAUUCUGUUAUGACACAGCUCUGGAGCAAGUGACACUUGAACCUGGGCCUUCUGGGUCAAAGAUCCACUACUAUCGCCCAAAAUGUCUACAAAGAAUGUUACAGAGAUAUCAUCUAGACUAGACAUUUAAAUGAAGGCAACGGAUGCAGCACUUCAUUGAAACAAGUAAAGGAUGCUAUAUGACAGCGAUCUUCCAGAACCAAGGUGAAGCAGCCACUUGACAUUAACCCUUACACAAAUCAAUCCUCAGUUGCCAACAAGAUACCCAACUUCAUGUGCUGCAAGAAGUUUGGAUGAAACAAUGAUGUGAAAGUAUGAAAGGCACUCCUGUGAUCACAAGGGAAUAUUGGGCAAACAGAAAUGAAUUGACAGCCCAAGAUGCACACAACAGAAGAGAUAGAGUCAUUAUCCCUGUGGAGAGAUACUAAAGUGUAAUCAUGCAAGGAAUUGAGUCAAGUCUGAGGAAGGCAGGAGAAGUGCUCUAUUGGUUAAAAGUGAGCAAUGAAAUCAUGGACCAUAUUAGGCAGUGCACAUAGACCCCAUCACUCUCAAAAGAACUGAUUACUUUAUCACCAUAGAGAAGACAGACCAGCUGACUUCAACGUACAUCUCGGAGAGAGACCAGCUGACUUUGACAACUAUCAGUGAAACUGUAGAAUGCCUGAAAAUGCACUUACAGCAUUGUGAUGUACAACAAUGGACCUCCGUUUACAAGUGAUAAAUUCAUGAGAACAAUCGAGUACUUAGUAUGGUAACUUGGUUAGCCACGUAAGUGACCAUACAUGCAAUAUAUUUGCAUAGAAGAGGAGAUAUUUGGGAUAGAACUUCAAAACUGUACUAUUGUGCCUCUUAGCUUACCAUAGUUAUGUAUUUAUUAUGUGACACAGGCUUUUGUCCUGUCAGCUCGUAACAGUAUAUGUUAAUGAGGCUAGUCCCUGAGUCAAUUGGGUUCCUCAGUUGCCAAUAAAAA
Molecule: non-coding RNA, 1088 nt
Organism: Chiloscyllium plagiosum (whitespotted bambooshark)
Lineage: Eukaryota; Metazoa; Chordata; Chondrichthyes; Orectolobiformes; Hemiscylliidae
Source: RefSeq, a predicted model, not a curated record